This 618-nucleotide ribosomal RNA is filed under the name Microbacterium sp. LL8. Its description in RNAcentral is "bacterial SSU rRNA". It matches the Rfam family "Bacterial small subunit ribosomal RNA", at positions 158 to 789 of the family's 1533-position model. Lineage: Bacteria; Bacillati; Actinomycetota; Actinomycetes; Micrococcales; Microbacteriaceae. The record is from RNAcentral.
GGCGUCUAAUACUGGAUACGAACCACGAAGGCAUGUUCAGUGGUUGGAAAGAUUUAUUGGUUGGGGAUGGGCUCGCGGCCUAUCAGCUUGUUGGUGAGGUAAUGGCUCACCAAGGCGUCGACGGGUAGCCGGCCUGAGAGGGUGACCGGCCACACUGGGACUGAGACACGGCCCAGACUCCUACGGGAGGCAGCAGUGGGGAAUAUUGCACAAUGGGCGCAAGCCUGAUGCAGCAACGCCGCGUGAGGGAUGACGGCCUUCGGGUUGUAAACCUCUUUUAGCAGGGAAGAAGCGAAAGUGACGGUACCUGCAGAAAAAGCGCCGGCUAACUACGUGCCAGCAGCCGCGGUAAUACGUAGGGCGCAAGCGUUAUCCGGAAUUAUUGGGCGUAAAGAGCUCGUAGGCGGUUUGUCGCGUCUGCUGUGAAAUCCCGAGGCUCAACCUCCGGCCUGCAGUGGGUACGGGCAGACUAGAGUGCGGUAGGGGAGAUUGGAAUUCCUGGUGUAGCGGUGGAAUGCGCAGAUAUCAGGAGGAACACCGAUGGCGAACGCUGAUCUCUGGGCCGUAACUGACGCUGAGGAGCGAAAGGGUGGGGAGCAAACUGGCUUACAUACCCUG